CUCCCUCGCGAUUCAACCUCAGUCUUCAUCUUUGGCGGAUUGGUCACCCCUUCAAUGCCGUCAUUACCUCGUUCGUGUCUUCAGAGCUUCAUCCCCCAGCUUCCCUGCAAUCCUUCAGUGCUUGUGACUCCAUAUGCAACUUUAUAUAUGUAUAUCUCUUGCAGUUAACUUUUAUUUAUUUUGGGAAUGUUUGCUGAUGCGUAUUGGAAGUAGAAAUAUAUUAUGAACACCAUUCAAGUUGACACAGUUCUUUUGAGUUUGUCAAAUUUUCUCCUUUUAAAAAUUGGUAUAUUUGCAUGGUGUGGUCUUCAUAAGGUAUUAAGAGUUGGGCUAGCCAUUGAAAUGAUUUACUGCC
Molecule: long non-coding RNA, 355 nt
Organism: Prosopis cineraria
Lineage: Eukaryota; Viridiplantae; Streptophyta; Magnoliopsida; Fabales; Fabaceae
Exons: 3
Source: RefSeq, a predicted model, not a curated record